This is a long non-coding RNA of Lytechinus pictus (painted urchin), 402 nucleotides long. RefSeq lists it as uncharacterized. Lineage: Eukaryota; Metazoa; Echinodermata; Echinoidea; Temnopleuroida; Toxopneustidae. The record is from RefSeq and is a predicted model, not a curated record. The transcript is spliced from 3 exons.
CCUGUGUGGAGAAUCCUUGUGAAAAUGGAGGCUCCUGUGUGGAAAUCGAUGCUACUUCAUUUGAGUGCCAGUGCCCUUUCCCAUUCAACGGAACAUUCUGUGAAGUCAAUAAUGAUCCUUGCCAGAUGGACCCAACACCCUGUCUGAAUGGAGCAACCUGUAAUAACUAUGGACUUCUAUACAACUGCUCCUGUGCUUACGGCUUCCAAGGAUUCAACUGUGAAGAAGAGGUGAAUCCAUGUCGGGAUGAACCUUGUUUGAAUGGAGGUACUUGUACGAAUCUGAUAGAGACUUACACCUGUGCCUGUGGGGGAUCCUUCAUGGGCAGGAACUGUGAAAUAGGUGAGUGUUGUCAACUGAAUACAUUUCAAACAGUGACUUUUAAGUUCUAUCAAGCUCACA